RNAcentral lists this ribosomal RNA (1231 nucleotides) under metagenome. RNAcentral's name for it is "bacterial LSU rRNA". It matches the Rfam family "Bacterial large subunit ribosomal RNA", at positions 1564 to 2805 of the family's 2925-position model. The record is from RNAcentral.
UGAAUACGAGAUGCUACGGCGUCGAAGCAGUGUAUGUCAGACUUCCAAGAAAAGCUCGCAAUGUCAUAAAUAAAGAAUGCCUGUACCAUAACCGACACAGGUGGGUAGGUAGAGUAUACUAAGGGGCGCGAGAUAACUCUCUCUAAGGAACUCGGCAAAAUAACUCCGUAACUUCGGGAGAAGGAGUGCCUUCUAUUAGAAGGUUGCAAUAACAAGAUCCAAGCAACUGUUUAUCAAAAACACAGGUCUCCGCUAAGUCGUAAGACGAUGUAUGGGGGCUGACGCCUGCCCAGUGCCAGAAGGUUAAAGAAGUUGGUUAGCUUUGGCGAAGCUGAUGACUGAAGCCCUGGUGAACGGCGGCCGUAACGAUACGGUCCUAAGGUAGCGAAAUUCCUUGUCGGGUAAGUUCCGACCCGCACGAAAGGCGUAAUGAUUUGGAUACUGUCUCGGAGAGGGACUCGGUGAAAUAGACUUGUCUGUGAAGAUGCGGACUACCUGCACCAGGACAGAAAGACCCUAUGAAGCUUUACUGUAACUUGAAAUUGAAAUUGGACUUUAUUUGCGCAGCAUAGGUGGAAGGCGUUGAGAUUACUCUUGCGGGAGUACUGGAGCCAUCAGUGAGAUACCACUCCUAUAAUGUUAGAUUUCUAACUUUGGAUCAUGAUCUGGUCAAAGAACAGUUUCAGGCGGGCAGUUUGACUGGGGCGGUCGCCUCCCAAAUGGUAACGGAGGCGUACAAAGGUUUCCUCUGAACGGGUAGAAAUCGUAUCUAGAGUGUAAAGGCAUAAGGAAGCUUGACUGUGAGACCUACAAGUCGAGCAGGGACGAAAGUCGGUCUUAGUGAUCUGACGGUGCUGAGUGGAAAGGCCGUCACUCAACGGAUAAAAGUUACUCUAGGAUAACAGGCUGAUCUCCCCCAAGAGUUCACAUCGACGGGGAGGUUUGGCACCUCGAUGUCGGCUCAUCGCAUCCUGGGGCGGUAGUACGUCCCAAGGGUUGGGCUGUUCGCCCAUGAAAGCGGUACGCGAGCUGGGUUCAGAACGUCGUGAGACAGUUCGGUCCAUAUCCGGUGUAGGCGUUAGAAUAUUGAGAGGAGCCUUCUUUAGUACGAGAGGACCGAGAAGGACAUACCUCUGGUGUACCAGUUAUCGUGCCAACGGUAAACGCUGGGUAGCUAUGUAUGGAGAGGAUAACCGCUGAAAGCAUCUAAGUGGGAAGCCCACCUCAAGAU